AUGUUAUUUCUUAAUUUCCAAAUAGUCCAUAAAAUGGCAGAGAUCCCUACCACAAGUCCACAACUAGAAUGUUUUCACUCUUAUACUAAAUCUCAACAGCCAAGUGUUGAACAGGCCGUGUACAAUAUCUCAGGCCAUUCGGACGUCAAGAGGAGGCAUUCGGACAACGAUCUCGGCACGCCUGGGCUCCGCGGCGCGUGGCGGCUGCACGUGGCCGCCGGUGAUGCAGCAGUACACCAGCAGCGCAACGGCGGCGACCGCGAGAGCCGACACGCCGACCGCUAUCCAGGCUUUCUCUUCUCCGGUGAGGCCGUGGGCCGGCUCCGGCUGGUGGGUGGAGUGAGGGGGUGGGGGCGGCGGCGGCAGGAGCUGGAAGACCACGUCCGACGGCAGCACCUCGGCUGCGGCGUUGCCGAGCAGCAGGAGCAGGAUGCACAGACGACCCAUCGCCGACACCGCACUGAGCCCCACCUCCAUGACGCUGCUUCUCCCUAG
RNAcentral lists this ribosomal RNA (495 nucleotides) under Triticum aestivum (bread wheat). RNAcentral's name for it is "partial small subunit ribosomal RNA". Lineage: Eukaryota; Viridiplantae; Streptophyta; Magnoliopsida; Poales; Poaceae. The record is from RNAcentral.